This 1472-nucleotide long non-coding RNA is filed under the name Zea mays. RNAcentral's name for it is "drought responsive lncRNA". The record is from RNAcentral. Lineage: Eukaryota; Viridiplantae; Streptophyta; Magnoliopsida; Poales; Poaceae.
CUUAGAGAAGUGUAUUUAUAGCGUGUAGUCGUAUAUUAAUAACUAGUGUUUCCGUGUAAGAUUGUACAACGCCUCGCCACUAGGUGUUUAAUACACUAUCGUAUAACACUAUUUAGAUUUAUGAUAUUCAUGUCUAUAUGCAUUCAUAUGCAUAAUGCAUUUCAUUCAGGUGCGAUAAUUAAUCACGUGAUGCGGAAGAUGACUCAAGUCGACCCCAAGCGCGGGCUACUCCGUAUGGAGAUGCUGAUGAACGAACCUGCCUGAUCAAGUGUUAGGACAAGGAUGAUCGUCAAGUGGAAGUCGUCUAACAAACACUAACAUAGUGUUACCCAGGCAAGCCCCGGUGCAUGCAACCCCUUCCUUGUGUUUUUAAAUUAUUUUUACACACUUAAGUCUAGUGAAUGUGCAUUAGGUUUAUAGGAGUUGCUUGGAAACCCUUGGAUGCAUUGCCUUCCUUGAAAUCCAUACCUUUAUAGAUACUUCUGGUGAAGUAUCAAAAUUAUGAUUUACAAAAAUGCUUAGCCCUGCUCAGAUCUUGUGGAUAGAGGUUGUCUUUUGCAUUAAGGCCUAGCUCAGGGGUUAUCCCGAGGAAAGAUGACUUCUACCUGCAAGAAUACUUUCAUUGAGAGUGUGGUGUGAUCUUACUGCAAAGUUCCCUUUGAUGCUCUUUUCAUCCUAAGGAACACAAACAAUCCUAAGGAUGGAAGUACUUAAAUCGGGACUCGGGCUAGGAACAGGUGAUGUUCUACCUAGGUUGAUUAAGGAUUGAAUGCGUAUGUAGGCGUGCUGAUCGAGGACCCUUUAACUGGUCACAUGCCUCGUCAUGGGUAAGCCUUGCCUCAGGCAGACUAAGGCCAGAAUAAGAUAACACGGAAUGGGCGUGGAGCGGUGGCGAGAGUAGCGUGUACCCUCCGUGGCAAGAGGCUGGACGGUGAUGUAUCUGUGCUCUCAGUUCGCGUGAACCUGAUUUGGUCUUAAGAACCCCAGUGGCGGGUUGACAUAUGCAAGGGUUAAGUGCUACAUAUGUCGUGUGAUUGGAGAUCCUCAGCUGAGUAUAAUCGAUUCGGAUCGCCGUACCUUCGCGGUUAUGAAGACUUGGUCACUUCCCUACAACCUAAGUCAGGAUGUGAACCUCAAGAAUAAAAAUGAUGUUGUAUUGAUGAGAUGGUGAAAUUAGACCAGAUGCAAACAGAGUCUAUUAAUAUUUAAUCUGGCGUUAAAACAUUGAAAGUAAGGAUUCACUUUAGUAAGCUAUUUCUGCAAAAGUAUCUAAGUUGAUUCUUGCUAAAGCCUCUCCUUGAUUCCCAAUUCCAGCAUACCCUUGAGAGUCUUUUCUUUAGUCGGGUAAGUCUUAUUGAGUAAUUCCAUACUCAGGGUUUAUUCCCUAUUGUUUUUCAGGUUAUAGUCUUGUGAUGUUGUUGAUGGUGUUAAGUGCCGGUGGGCUCGGCCUUCUUAUAUAAGUAUACCCCGUC